AUGACAAAGGUGUUUGAGGCAUCUGAGAAAGCGUAUCCUUACCUUAGGGAUUACCAUAAUCUGUUAUGGAUGAGGUGCAUGUUCAAUCCUGACAUCAAGUGUGACUACAUAAAUAACAAUCUUGCUGAGUGCUUUAAUUCUUGGGUGCGAGAAAUCAAGGACUUGCCGAUUGUUCAGCUAGCUGAUAAGAUUAGAGAGAUGAUUAUGGACCUAUUUAGAAAGAGGAGAAUGAUUGGAGAGAAAACUCGAGGACUAGGACAUCUCAAGGCUAAAGCAUCAGCUGAUUGGAGUGGAGAAGUGAAAAAUGAUAACAAAGGGGAUGAAAGACAUGUCGUCAAAACACUCACACAUGAGUGUACAUGUCUGCAAUGGCAGCACACAGGCAAGCCUUGUGACCAUGCACUAGCCUUCAUAAAUGUUUUGCAAGCUCGCAACUUUGUGAACAUGGAGGAUUAUGUGCACGAGUACUACUCAGUUAGCAGAUUCAGGGCAGCAUAUGAAGGUGUAAUUGAGCCCCUUACGGACAAGAAUCAGUGGCCACAUGUUGAUACAGGCUUUGUGUUGCGUCCACCAAUUCCAAAAGGCAAGAAAAAAGGUGCUGGAAGAACAAGAAAACAGAGGAUGAAGAGUUGGUGGGAAGGUGGAUCAAGGAAGGGAUCAUUGAACAAAUGCAACAAAUGCGGGGACGUAGGACAUAGAGAAGCCGGCUGUCCUCAAAAUGGAACAAAGAAACGGAAAAGUAUGGGGAAAAAGAAUCCAUCUCCAUGGUUUGAUGUCUCAGUUAGCAAUGUGAUUCCAUCUACACCAACCAAGAGCAAGAAUGUCGCCACUUGUAGCAGUCCUGGAGCUGUGACAAGAAGCCAAGCGGCAUCUCAAGCUAGUCCUGGAGCUGUCACAAGGAGCCAAGCAACAUCUGAAGCUGCUACUCCACCACCAAAGUCUCCAGCAAAAGGAAAGAAGAAGAAAAUGACUCCAAAGAGGAAGAAAUUAAGCGAUCUGUGA
This 1002-nucleotide ribosomal RNA is filed under the name Triticum aestivum (bread wheat). RNAcentral's name for it is "partial small subunit ribosomal RNA". Lineage: Eukaryota; Viridiplantae; Streptophyta; Magnoliopsida; Poales; Poaceae. The record is from RNAcentral.